CAAAUGCUGAUCUAAAACUUCUGAAGUAACAUUUUUUGCACCUCUGUAGAGAAGACCUGUGCACAAAACAAACCUUGCUCAGUGCACAGGGAGUGCUG
Molecule: long non-coding RNA, 98 nt
Organism: Strigops habroptila (Kakapo)
Lineage: Eukaryota; Metazoa; Chordata; Aves; Psittaciformes; Psittacidae
Exons: 4
Source: RefSeq, a predicted model, not a curated record